AACGAACGCUGGCGGCGUACUUAACACAUGCAAGUCGGACGAGAAAGGGGACUUUCGGUUUCCUGAGUACAGUGGCGCACGGGUGCGUAACACGUAAGUAAUCUACCCCGAACCCUGGGGAUAACCCUCCGAAAGGAGGGCUAAGACUGGAUAGGGUCCCCGAGGUAUAGGCUGCGGGGGGGGGAAAACGGGGCCUCUGAUUCACGCUCGUGGUGCGGGAUGAGCUUGCGGCCCAUUAGCUAGUUGGUAGGGUAAUGGCCUACCAAGGCAACGAUGGGUAGCUGGUCUGAGAGGAUGAUCAGCCACACUGGCACUGAGACACGGGCCAGACUCCUACGGGAGGCAGCAGUGGGGAAUUUUGCGCAAUGGGCGAAAGCCUGACGCAGUAACGCCGCGUGGAGGAUGAAGGCCUUCGGGUUGUAAACUCCUGUCAGGGGGAACGACGGGGAUAGGGGGACAACCUCUGUCCACCAGACGGUACCUCCAAAGGAAGCCCCGGCUAAUUCCGUGCCAGCAGCCGCGGUAA
This 526-nucleotide ribosomal RNA is filed under the name uncultured delta proteobacterium. RNAcentral's name for it is "bacterial SSU rRNA". It matches the Rfam family "Bacterial small subunit ribosomal RNA", at positions 29 to 523 of the family's 1533-position model. Lineage: Bacteria; Deltaproteobacteria. The record is from RNAcentral.